This 223-nucleotide unclassified non-coding RNA is filed under the name Hevea brasiliensis (rubber tree). The record is from RNAcentral. Lineage: Eukaryota; Viridiplantae; Streptophyta; Magnoliopsida; Malpighiales; Euphorbiaceae.
AUGAGUUUUUUUUGAUUUAUUAUUUCGUUUAGGGUUUGUGUAGUAAGGAGGAGAGGGAUGUGGUAUAAAACGAAAGAUUCGUGUUAUAGGAGGUUAAGUAUUUUGUUAGGGAAUUUUUUUUAAAAGAGUUGGUUGUAGGGGAGAAGUUAGUAGUGGAGUAGUGAAUUAGUAUAGUGGAGUAGAAGGAUUAUUUGGAGGAAGUUUGUGAAAUUGUUGGAAUGAU